Molecule: ribosomal RNA, 253 nt
Filed under: uncultured bacterium
Lineage: Bacteria
Description: partial 16S ribosomal RNA
Rfam family: Bacterial small subunit ribosomal RNA
Source: RNAcentral
UACGUAGGGGGCAAGCGUUGUCCGGAAUCAUUGGGCGUAAAGAGCGUGUAGGCGGCCCGGUAAGUCCGCCGUGAAAGUCCAGGGCUCAACCCUGGAAUGCCGGUGGAAACUGCCGGGCUGGAGUCCGGAAGAGGAGUGUGGAAUUCCUGGUGUAGCGGUGAAAUGCGCAGAUAUCAGGAGGAACACCAAUGGCGAAGGCAGCUCGCUGGGACGUGACUGACGCUGAGACGCGAAAGCGUGGGGAGCAAACAGG